Molecule: non-coding RNA, 711 nt
Organism: Thunnus maccoyii (southern bluefin tuna)
Lineage: Eukaryota; Metazoa; Chordata; Actinopteri; Scombriformes; Scombridae
Source: the annotation of a RefSeq genome assembly
AUGGAUGGGUCUUGCUUCCUGGUCAUUGAUGGUCAGACUCUGACAGAAUCUGAACCAGCAGUUAAAAAGCCUGGAGAAUCCCACAAACUGACCUGUACAACAUCUGGAUUCACAUUCAGUGACUACUACAUGCACUGGAUCAGACAGGCUCCUGGAAAAGGACUGGAGUGGGUUGCUUAUAUCAGUGGUAGUGGUGGCAGCACAUACUACUCCCAGUCAGUUCAAGGCCGGUUCACCAUCUCCAGAGACAACAACAGACUGCAGAUGAACAGUCUGAAGACUGAAGAUUCUGCUGUUUAUUAUUGUGCUCGACACUCACAUAUUGAUCUCAUCCAGCCAGACUCAAUGGUUGUGCAGCCUGGACAGUCUUUGACCAUCACCUGUCAGGUCUCUGGUUAUUCUCUGACUGAUAGCAGCUAUGCAACAGGAGUUCAGAGUGAGAUCAAACUGGACCAGUCUCCCUCUGAGGUGAAAAGACCUGGAGAGACACCGUUUCAGUACCUUGAGGUCAAGAGUCUGACAGCAGAAGAUUCUGCUGUUUACUUCUGUGCUCGAAGAGUCACAGUGACUGAAGACAGUGAAGCAGCUGCACAAAAACCUCCACGGACACAACAUUUGACCAGAGAUGAAGCAGUUUUCAAGAAGCAAUAUGUUGGUGACUAAAACAAUAGAAUAUUUAUAUUAUCUUCUUAUCUGCUGCCAAUUACACUC